CCCUUAGAUGUCCUGGGCCGCACGCGCGUUACACUGAUGCAUUCAACGAGCUUAUAACCUUGGCCGAGAGGCCUGGGCAAUCUUGUUAACGUGCAUCGUGAUAGGGAUAGAUUAUUGAAAUUAUUAAUCUUGAACGAGGAAUUCCUAGUAAACGCAGAUCAUCAAUCUGCAUUGAUUACGUCCCUGCCCUUUGUACACACCGCCCGUCGCACCUACCGAUUGGAUGGUCCGGUGAAGCCUCGGGAUUGUGGUUCUUGCCGCUUUAUUGUGGCGUGACCGCGAGAUCUUGUCUAAACCUUAUCAUCUAGAGGAAGGUGAAGUCGUAACA
RNAcentral lists this ribosomal RNA (328 nucleotides) under uncultured eukaryote. RNAcentral describes it as "partial 18S ribosomal RNA". It matches the Rfam family "Eukaryotic small subunit ribosomal RNA", at positions 1470 to 1796 of the family's 1831-position model. The record is from RNAcentral.